Molecule: long non-coding RNA, 280 nt
Filed under: Homo sapiens (human)
Lineage: Eukaryota; Metazoa; Chordata; Mammalia; Primates; Hominidae
Description: HSALNT0313028
Source: RNAcentral
UUACUUUCUGUGACCGUUGUGUUUUCUAUUCUACAGUCAGAGCACAGAAACGGUUUUCUUCGGGCUUUUGAAAGAGGUUUAUGAACUAAGCACCUGAUUUCCACCUAUAAUACUGUAAUUCAAUAACUUGUGUGAUAUAUGAGAAAUCCUGAAGUUCAUCACACUGUAACUGAAUUGCCAUUCCCACAACACUCCAGAGAGUUCUCUUGUCCUCUUUUGGCCAUGUGAGGAUACAAGAAGAUGGCAGUCUGCAACCAAGACGGCUCUCACCAGAACCCAA